CCUACGGGCGGCAGCAGUGAGGAAUAUUGGUCAAUGGGCGCGAGCUUGAACCAGCCAAGUAGCGUGAAGGAUGACUGCCCUACGGGUGGUAAACUUUGUUUAUAAAGGAGUAAAGUGAGGCACGUGUGCAUUUUUGUAUGUACGUUAUGAAUAAGGAUCGGCUAAGUUCGUGCCAGCAGCAGCGGUAAUACGGAGGAUCCGAGCGUUAUCCGGAUUUAGUGGGUUUAAAGGGAGCGUAGAUGGGUUGUUAAGUCAGUUGUGAAAGUUUGCGGCUCAACCGUAAAAUUGCAAUUGAUACUGGCAGUCUUGAGUUCAGUUGAGGUAGGCGGAAUUCGUGGUGUAGCGGUGAAAUGCUUAGAUAUCACGAAGAACUCCGAUUGCGAAGGCAGCUUACUAAACUGCCACUGACAUUGAUGCUCGAAAGUGUGGGUAUCAAACAGGAUUAGAUACCCGAGUAGUC
RNAcentral lists this ribosomal RNA (460 nucleotides) under uncultured bacterium. Its description in RNAcentral is "partial 16S ribosomal RNA". It matches the Rfam family "Bacterial small subunit ribosomal RNA", at positions 338 to 795 of the family's 1533-position model. The record is from RNAcentral.